RNAcentral lists this ribosomal RNA (430 nucleotides) under uncultured bacterium. RNAcentral describes it as "partial 16S ribosomal RNA". It matches the Rfam family "Bacterial small subunit ribosomal RNA", at positions 354 to 796 of the family's 1533-position model. The record is from RNAcentral.
GUGGGGAAUAUUGCACAAUGGGCGCAAGCCUGAUGCAGCAACGCCGCGUGAGGGAUGACGGCCUUCGGGUUGUAAACCUCUUUUAGUAGGGAAGCAGCGUAAGUGACGGUACCUGCAGAAAAAGCACCGGCUAACUACGUGCCAGCAGCCGCGGUAAUACGUAGGGUGCAAGCGUUGUCCGGAAUUAUUGGGCGUAAAGAGCUCGUAGGCGGCUUGUCGCGUCUGCCGUGAAAACCCAGGGCUCAACUCUGGGCGUGCGGUGGGUACGGGCAGGCUAGAGUGCGGUAGGGGAGAGUGGAAUUCCUGGUGUAGUGGUGGAAUGCGCAGAUAUCAGGAGGAACACCGAUGGCGAAGGCAGAUCUCUGGGCCGUAACUGACGCUGAGGAGCGAAAGCAUGGGGAGCGAACAGGAUUAGAAACCCUAGUAGUCC